Molecule: ribosomal RNA, 496 nt
Filed under: uncultured bacterium
Lineage: Bacteria
Description: partial 16S ribosomal RNA
Rfam family: Bacterial small subunit ribosomal RNA
Source: RNAcentral
GAUGAACGCUGGCGGCGUGCCUAAUACAUGCAAGUCGAGCGAACAGACGAGGAGCUUGCUCCUUCGACGUUAGCGGCGGACGGGUGAGUAACACGUAGGUAACCUACCUAUAAGACUGGGAUAACUUCGGGAAACCGGAGCUAAUACCGGAUAAUAUUUCGAACCGCAUGGUUCGAUAGUGAAAGAUGGCUUUGCUAUCACUUAUAGAUGGACCUGCGCCGUAUUAGCUAGUUGGUAAGGUAACGGCUUACCAAGGCAACGAUACGUAGCCGACCUGAGAGGGUGAUCGGCCACACUGGAACUGAGACACGGUCCAGACUCCUACGGGAGGCAGCAGUAGGGAAUCUUCCGCAAUGGGCGAAAGCCUGACGGAGCAACGCCGCGUGAGUGAUGAAGGUCUUCGGAUCGUAAAACUCUGUUAUUAGGGAAGAACAAACGUGUAAGUAACUGUGCACGUCUUGACGGUACCUAAUCAGAAAGCCACGGCUAACUACGU